GCUUUAAAUUCAUAUAAAUACAUCAUACAGCCAUAGGAACUAACAUUUUAAACUGAUUUUUAAUAUUUCAAUAUCAAAAAAGAUCUUUUCUAGUGGAAAGACCUACAAUUGUUCUCUGAACAAUUGGUUUUUAAUUAUUAUUAGGUCUUUCAACCUUUCAGGUGAAAGACCUAUAGGGUUUGUUCUGAUUAUUAUUAUUAUUAUUAUUAUUAUUAUUAUUAUUAUUAUUUUUUUUUUUUUUUUUUCUUCGCCAACUUUUUUCCUUCGCUUUUUUUGUUUCACAAGAUGUCGCUUAGUUAUUUGGUAUAUGAUAUCGAACAGUUAAUGCGCUUCUGAAACUGACACCGCGUAACAAAAACC
RNAcentral lists this long non-coding RNA (360 nucleotides) under Mytilus galloprovincialis (Mediterranean mussel). The record is from RNAcentral. Lineage: Eukaryota; Metazoa; Mollusca; Bivalvia; Mytilida; Mytilidae.